Cyphomyrmex costatus is the source of this 294-nucleotide long non-coding RNA. RefSeq lists it as uncharacterized. NCBI's taxonomy places the organism in Eukaryota, Metazoa, Arthropoda, Insecta, Hymenoptera, Formicidae. The record is from RefSeq and is a predicted model, not a curated record. The transcript has 4 exons.
UUACAGACAUGACAAAUUCGCGAAUUUACGGAUCGAUCGCGAUUGGGAUUGAUAUGCCUAAUAAUUAUAUUCUGAAAUUUUUAUCGAUCGCGAAGUAAUUAAUGAUAUAGUGUUUCAUUAUCCUAAGUAUUUAUUAUCGCGAGUAUUCCACUCUCUUUGAGAACACCACUGCAAUCUCGAUUUCAUAGAUCAACAUCGACCAAAAUCAAACCGUUAUACCAUCGAGAAAGAGGUCAACACACUUGUGACAUUGUUGUGCAUUGUAUCGCACACUCCGCCGCGGAAUUGAGAAUU